UGUGUCACUGUGUCACUGUGUGUCACUGUGUGUCACUGUGUGUCACUGUGUCACUGUGUCACUGUGUCACUGUGUGUCACUGUCACUGUCACUGUGUCACUGUGUGUCACUGUGUCACUGUGUCACUGUCACUGUGUCACUGUGUGUCACUGUCACUGUCACUGCGUCACUGUCACUGUGUGUCACUGUCACUGUGUCACUGUCACUGUGUCACUGUGUGCUGUGUCCCUGUGUCCCUGUGUCACUGUGUCAUUGUGUCACUGUGGUGUCCCCUGAUGACCCCAUGUCCCCCACGAUGUCCUCCUGAUGUCCCUGUGGUGUCCCCAGGUGUCACUCACCAUGGUUGAAUCCUCCCAGCUCAGGAUCAGGAACCUGUGACGUUCCCCAGGUGUCCCCAGGUGUGUCCCCAGGUGUCCCCAGGUGUGUCCCCAGGUGUCCCCAUGUCCCCCCAGGUGUCCCCAUGUCCCCAGGUGUCACUCACCAUGGUGGAGUCCUUCUGGCUCAGGAUCAGGAACCCGUGACGUUCCCCAGGUGUCCCCAGGUGUGUCCCAGGUGUCCCCAGGUGUAUCUCAGGUGUCCCCAGGUGUGUCCCAGGUGUCCCCAGGUGUGUCCCAGGUGUAUCUCAGGUGUCCCCAGGUGUGUCCCCAUGUCCCCCCAGGUGUCCCCAGGUGUCCCCAGGUGUCACUCACCAUGGUGGAGUCCUCCCGGCUCAGGAUCAGGAACCCGUGACGUUCCCCGUCCUCCUCGGAACUUUCCGGAGCCGUCGCUGCCGCCUCGGGCUCUGCGCUGGUCCCUGGGGCCACCUCCGGCUGUGGGGACAGGGACAGGGUGGGGACACUGUGGGGACACUGUGGGACACCGUGGGACACCAUGGGGACAGGGACAGGGACAGGGACAGGGUGGGGACACUGUGGGACACCAUGGGGACAGGGACAGGGACACAGUGGGGACACUGUGGGGACACUGUGGGACACGGUGGGGACAGGGACAGGGACAGGGACACAGUGGGACACCGUGGGGACAGGGACACAGUGGGGACAGGGACAGUGUGGGGACAGGGACAGGGAGAGCGUGGGGCCAGGGACACACUGGGGACAGGGACACACUGGGGACAGGGACAGCAUGGGGACAGGGACACAGGGACACAGGGACACACUGGGGACAGGGACACAGGGACAGGGACACACUGGGGACAGGGACAGCGAGGGGACAGGGACACACUGGGGACAGGGAUGGGGACAGGGAUAGGGACACAGGGACAGCGUGGGGCCAGGGACACUGUGGGGACAGGGACACUGUGACAAGGGGACACACGGACAUGGAAGGACCUGGGGACACAGAGACAGGGACAGGAACACGGUGACACGAGGGGACACAGGAAGGUGACACAGUGACACAGGGGAGGGGACACGGUGACACGAGGGGACAUGGGGAGGGGACACGGUGACACAGUGACAUGAGGUGACAUCAGGUGAUACAUGGCAACACACAGUGACACAAGGUGAGGUGACAUACAGUGACACACGGUGACACACAGUGACACACAGUGACACAGUGACACACAGUGACAGUGACACACGGUGACACAGGUGACACACAAUGACACACAGUGACACACAGUGACACAGUGACACAGUGACACACAGUGAAACAGUGACACACAAUGACACACAGUGACACACAGUGACACACAGUGACAGUGACACAGUGACACACAGUGACACAGUCACACGCAGUCACACACAGUGACACACAGUGACACACGGUGAGGUGACACACAGUGACACACACGGUGACACAGUGACACACAGUGACACAGUGACACAGAGUGACAGUGACACACGGUGACACAGUGACACACGGUGACAGUGACACACAGUGACACACGGUGACACACACGGUGACACACACGGUGACACGGUGACACACCUGCUGGCGCGGCGGGGGCGCGGUGACCGUCCACAUGUCGUAACAGCCGGGGAGCUCAAACGUGGUGACAACCUGCGGCCGGA
RNAcentral lists this long non-coding RNA (2012 nucleotides) under Parus major (Great Tit). RNAcentral describes it as "lncRNA (ENSPMJG00000004771.1)". The record is from RNAcentral. Lineage: Eukaryota; Metazoa; Chordata; Aves; Passeriformes; Paridae.